CGGUAUUCCAGAGUUGAUAAUA
Molecule: microRNA, 22 nt
Filed under: Caenorhabditis elegans
Lineage: Eukaryota; Metazoa; Nematoda; Chromadorea; Rhabditida; Rhabditidae
Description: cel-miR-234-5p
Gene: cel-miR-234-5p
Source: miRBase by way of RNAcentral